UAUAAGUAUACAAAGAAACUAUUAUGGAAAUCUAGCUAUGUAUUAAAGGGUAUGAUUUAUUUACUCAAAUUAAGAAUUUUACCUCUUGCUUUUGACAUUGCUUUCCCGGUAUCUCCGGGGACAGUAAUUAAAAAGUUUAGAAGUUCAAAACUUAUUUUAAAUAUAAACCCUAAGAGAAGUUUUUUAGUAAACGAAGUGAAUUGAAACAUCUUAGUAACUUCAGGAAAAGAAAUCAAAAGAGAUUCUAUGAUUAGCGUGAGCGAAAAUAGAGCAGCCUAUUUAUUAAUAAGUAAAAUGGUUUACAAACUGUUUGAAUUUAAUGGGGAACCUUCCUCAAAGGCUAAAUAUAAUACAUAAGCGAUAGUGAAUAGUAUCAUGAGAGAACGAUUAGAAUUAGUAGUUUUAUAAGCAGUUCGAGCAAAAUAAAUAAGUGAGAACGUACCUUUUGCAUAAUGGGUCACCAAGUUAACAUUAGAUGCGAGUGAAAGCGUAGGUAAACCAAUCGUUAAAAGAACGAAGAGUGUCUAAAGUUAGACCCGAAGCCUGGUGAUUUUACCAUAAUCAGGAUUAUAAAAGUCCGAACGGGUU
RNAcentral lists this non-coding RNA (588 nucleotides) under Colletotrichum chlorophyti. Its description in RNAcentral is "Bacterial large subunit ribosomal RNA". It matches the Rfam family "Bacterial large subunit ribosomal RNA", at positions 1 to 784 of the family's 2925-position model. Lineage: Eukaryota; Fungi; Ascomycota; Sordariomycetes; Glomerellales; Glomerellaceae. The record is from Rfam by way of RNAcentral.